RNAcentral lists this ribosomal RNA (492 nucleotides) under uncultured bacterium. Its description in RNAcentral is "partial 16S ribosomal RNA". It matches the Rfam family "Bacterial small subunit ribosomal RNA", at positions 29 to 507 of the family's 1533-position model. The record is from RNAcentral.
AGUGAACGCUGGCGGCAGGCCUAACACAUGCAAGUCGAACGGCAGCACAGUAAGAGCUUGCUCUUACGGGUGGCGAGUGGCGUACGGGUGAGGAAUAUAUCGGAAUCUACUUUUUCGUGUGGGUUCACGUAGCUAAACUUACUCUAAUAUCGCAUACGACCUACCGUUGAAGGCAGUGGAUCUUUUCCCCUUGUGCGAUUGAAUGAGCCGAUGUCGGAUUAGCUAGUUGGCGGGGUAAAGGCCCACCAGGGCGACGAUCCGUAGCUGGUCUGAGAGGAUGGUCAGCCACACUGGAACUGAGACACGGUCCAGACUCCUACGGGAGGCAGCAGUGGGGAAUAUUGGACAAUGGGCGCAAGCCUGAUCCAGCCAUACCGCGUGGGUGAAGAAGGCCUUCGGGUUGUAAAGCCCUUUUGUUGGGAAAGAAAAGCAGCAGGUUAAUACCCCGCUGUUCUGACGGUACCCAAAGAAUAAGCACCGGCUAACUUCGUG